This 340-nucleotide unclassified non-coding RNA is filed under the name soil metagenome. RNAcentral describes it as "partial contains 5.8S ribosomal RNA, internal transcribed spacer 2, and large subunit ribosomal RNA". The stretch from base 1 to 120 matches the Rfam family "5.8S ribosomal RNA", at positions 35 to 154 of the family's 154-position model. The record is from RNAcentral.
GAUGAAGAACGUAGCGAAAUGCGAUAAGUAGUGUGAAUUGCAGAAUUCAGUGAAUCAUCGAAUCUUUGAACGCACAUUGCGCCCUUUGGUAUUCCAAAGGGCAUGCCUGUUCGAGCGUCAUUUGUACCCUCAAGCUUUGCUUGGUGUUGGGCGUCUUGUCUCUAGCUUUGCUGGAGACUCGCCUUAAAGUAAUUGGCAGCCGGCCUACUGGUUUCGGAGCGCAGCACAAGUCGCACUCUCUAUCAGCAAAGGUCUAGCAUCCAUUAAGCCUUUUUUUCAACUUUUGACCUCGGAUCAGGUAGGGAUACCCGCUGAACUUAAGCAUAUCAAUAAGCGGAGA